Molecule: ribosomal RNA, 308 nt
Filed under: uncultured bacterium
Lineage: Bacteria
Description: partial 16S ribosomal RNA
Rfam family: Bacterial small subunit ribosomal RNA
Source: RNAcentral
GAGACAGCAGCCGCCGCGGUAAUACGUAGGUGGCAAGCGUUGUCCGGAAUUAUUGGGCGUAAAGGGCACGCAGGCGGUUUCUUAAGUCUGAUGUGAAAGCCCCCGGCUCAACCGGGGAGGGUCAUUGGAAACUGGGAAACUUGAGUGCAGAAGAGGAGAGUGGAAUUCCACGUGUAGCGGUGAAAUGCGUAGAGAUGUGGAGGGACACCAGUGGCGAAGGCGACUCUCUGGUCUGUAACUGACGCUGAGGAGCGAAAGCGUGGGGAGCGAACAGGAUUAGAGACCCCUGUAGUCCCUGUCUCUUAUAC